Molecule: transfer RNA, 72 nt
Filed under: Promineifilum sp. (SeqCode)
Lineage: Bacteria; Bacillati; Chloroflexota; Ardenticatenia; Promineifilales (SeqCode); Promineifilaceae (SeqCode)
Description: tRNA-Met
Rfam family: tRNA
About the family: Transfer RNA (tRNA) molecules are approximately 80 nucleotides in length. Their secondary structure includes four short double-helical elements and three loops (D, anti-codon, and T loops).
Source: RNAcentral
UGCGGGGUAGAGCAGAGGCAGCUCGUCGGGCUCAUAACCCGGAGGUCACAGGUUCGAAUCCUGUCCCCGCGA